AGAAAUCAAAAUUUAGGAGAUUAGCAUACCUCGCAUUUCCUUUCCAACCUCUUCCUCCCACUCAUUUAUUCUAUGGGGGUUUGUCACAAAUGAGUAGUAGAUACAUGACCUUGAGUAUUUCGUUUUUUCAUAGAAAUAGAACAUUUUCAUUCCUUUUUUUAAUUGUAAUUACCACAGUUUUUAGUCUUUGAUCUGUUUUUCCGUGGAUUCAGUACUUAUUGACUGCAUUUUAAUAGUUUAGCCUCCUUAUUUGUAUAGUUUUGAAAAAAAAAUCUUUAGUUAAGUGGAUUGUGAGUAGAUUUUUUAAGGAGCAUUUUUAUAAUAUUUUUCCUGAAUCCUUGCAUAUUUGACAGUGUCUUUCUAUUGUGUUUAUGUGUGGCAGCAACAAUUUACUUUAUAUCAAAGCUUUUUUUUUUUUUUUUUUUUUUUUUUUUGGGAGACACAGUCUCACCCUAUCACCCAGGCUGGAGUGCACUGGCACUAUCUCGGCUUACUGCAGCCUUGACCUCCCAGACUCAAGUGAUCCUCCCACCUCAGCCUCCCCAAUAGCUGGGUCUACAGGCAUGCACCAUGACACUCGGCUAGCUUUUGUUUAUUUUUUGUAGAGACAGAGUCUCAUUAUGUUGCCCAGGCUGGUCUUGAACUCCUGGUUCAAGCAAUCCUCCUGCCUUGGCCUUGCAAAGUGCUGGGUACCCAGCCUCAAAGCAUAUUAUUUUUCUCAAUUCUAUAGAUGGAACUUAGUUGCCUUUGUCCCAUGCCUGUAGUCUCAGAAUGCCCAAUUUUUUUUUUUAACCUUGUUGACUUUUUGUUAAUGGGUAGAUGUUUUAAAAAGCUCACUCUGACUGCAACAGAAAAAUAGAUCAGAGGGGUGGGACAAGUAGUUGAAAAGGCCCAGGUGAGAGGCGAAAGUGCCACGGGUGAGGGUGGGGCAAUGAAGAAGCAGAAAUAUCAGUGGCAGUGAGAAAGUUUUAAAAGCCAUGAUCUGAUAGAGACAAUGCUUUAUAACACAGAAAUUGUCUGUUUAUAUUUGGUGUUUUUAAAAUAUUUAAAUAUUUUGUAAAAUACUAGGGACUCAACAAUGGUGGGUAGAAGUGUGAAAAGUAAACAAGUUAAUUACAAACAUCUAGUUAGGCUUUAUAUUAAUUCAUAUUAAUUUAUGGUAACCUUUCAUUUUAGCCCAAACAUUGGAUAGUGCCUUAUAGUUUCUAAUGCUUAGUUUUUUAUCUCUUAGAGCAAAUUAGGAAUUUUUUUCCACAAAACUAAAUGUUUUCUUCUCUUUCUGAUACUAGCUCCUGAAAUUCUUAGUUAUGAUCCUAUAAGCAUGGCAACAGAUAUGUGGUAAGAGUUAUUAAUGAAAAAUUGAUCAAAUUAGUUUCAAGAAAUGAGUAUGGUACUAAAUUUCUCUUGCAUUUUCUUUCUAAUUUAGGAGCAUUGGAGUGUUAACAUAUGUCAUGCUUACAGGAAUAUCACCUUUCUUAGGCAAUGAUAAACAAGAAACAUUCUUAAACAUCUCACAGAUGAAUUUAAGUUAUUCUGAGGAAGAAUUUGAUGUUUUGUCUGAGUCGGCUGUUGAUUUCAUCAGGACACUUUUAGUUAAGAAACCUGAAGAUCGAGCCACUGCUGAAGAAUGUCUAAAGCACCCCUGGUUGACACAGAGCAGUAUUCAAGAGCCUUCUUUCAGGAUGGAAAAGGCACUAGAAGAAGCAAAUGCCCUCCAAGAAGGUCAUUCUGUGCCUGAAAUUAAUUCAGAUACCGACAAAUCAGAAACCGAGGAAUCCAUUGUAACCGAAGAGUUAAUUGUAGUUACUUCAUAUACUCUAGGACAAUGCAGACAGUCUGAAAAAGAGAAAAUGGAGCAAAAGGCCAUUUCCAAACGAUUUAAAUUUGAGGAACCUUUGCUACAAGAAAUUCCAGGAGAAUUUAUCUACUGAGCAGUAUUUCCCUUUAGAACUUCAAGAUUUCUACAUUGAAAAUGUUAAUAUUAUUUAUGGACCUCUGGCCAAAUGGUACAUGUACUGGAAGUGGAUAACCAGUAUCACUUACACAAACAAAUUAACUUUGUCAAAUUUGUGGAGUUAGGUGGAAGCCAGAUUUUAAAAGUUGCCAACCAGGAGAUUUAACAGGUACAGUUACCCAUUUCAAUGUUAUUUUUAAGAAGGGAGAUGUUGGCACCUUUGAAUUCUACAUCCUAUUUCUCCAGAAUGAGAAUUUGUGUACAAAGAUACUUGUAUUCACUUUCUUUAAAAAAUCCAAGUAAAAGUGCCAAAACUAC
RNAcentral lists this small RNA (2272 nucleotides) under Pan troglodytes (chimpanzee). RNAcentral describes it as "retained intron". Lineage: Eukaryota; Metazoa; Chordata; Mammalia; Primates; Hominidae. The record is from RNAcentral.